RNAcentral lists this ribosomal RNA (253 nucleotides) under uncultured bacterium. RNAcentral's name for it is "partial 16S ribosomal RNA". It matches the Rfam family "Bacterial small subunit ribosomal RNA", at positions 524 to 776 of the family's 1533-position model. The record is from RNAcentral.
UACAGAGGGUGCUAGCGUUGUUCGGAAUCAUUGGGCGUAAAGGGCGUGUAGGCGGUUUGUUAAGUCAUGUGUGAAAUCCCUCGGCUCAACCGGGGAACGACGCAUGAAACUGGCAAGCUAGAGUACCAAAGAGGGGGGUGGAAUUCCCGGUGUAGCGGUGAAAUGCGUAGAUAUCGAGAGGAUCACCUGUGGCGAAGGCGGCCCCCUGGUUGGAUACUGACGCUGAGACGCGAAAGCGUGGGGAGCAAACAGG